GGAGGAAAAGAAACCAACAGGGAUUGCCCCAGUAACGGCGAGUGAAGCGGCAACAGCUCAAAUUUGAAAUCUGGCCCCUCAAGGUCCGAGUUGUAAUUUGUAGAGGAUGCUUUUGGUGAGGUGCCGCCCGAGUUCCCUGGAACGGGACGCCGCAGAGGGUGAGAGCCCCGUCUGGCUGGCCGCCGAACCUAUGUAAAGCUCCUUCGACGAGUCGAGUAGUUUGGGAAUGCUGCUCAAAAUGGGAGGUAUAUGUCUUCUAAAGCUAAAUAUUGGCCAGAGACCGAUAGCGCACAAGUAGAGUGAUCGAAAGAUGAAAAGCACCUUGAAAAGAGGGUUAAAUAGUACGUGAAAUUGUUGAAAGGGAAGCGCUUGUGACCAGACUUGGGCGCGGCGGAUCAUCCGGGGUUCUCCCCGGUGCACUUCGCCGUGUCCAGGCCAGCAUCAGUUCGUCGCGGGGGAAAAAGGCUUCGGGAACGUGGCUCCUCCGGGAGUGUUAUAGCCCGUUGCACAAUACCCUGCGGUGGACUGAGGACCGCGCUUCGGCAAGGAUGCUGGCGUAAUGGUCACCAGCGACCCGUCUU
This 581-nucleotide ribosomal RNA is filed under the name Trichoderma sp. RNAcentral describes it as "eukaryotic LSU rRNA". It matches the Rfam family "Eukaryotic large subunit ribosomal RNA", at positions 52 to 655 of the family's 3401-position model. The record is from RNAcentral. Lineage: Eukaryota; Fungi; Ascomycota; Sordariomycetes; Hypocreales; Hypocreaceae.